CAGCCGCCACGGUAAUACGUAGGGGGCGAGCGUUGUCCGAAGUUACUGGGCGUAAAGCGCGCGUAGGCGGCUUCUUAAGUCUGAGGUGAAAGGUUCAACGCUUAACGUGAACAGUGCCUUGGAUACUGGGGAGCUUGAGUAUGGGAGAGGGCAGUGGAAUGGCUGGUGUAGCGGUGAAAUGCGUAGAUAUCAGUCGGAACACCCAUGGCGAAGGCAGCUGCCUGGCCUAAUACUGACGCUGAGGAGCGGAAGCGUGGGGAGCGAACAGGAUUAGAUACCCGCGUAGUCCCUGUCUCUUAUA
Molecule: ribosomal RNA, 301 nt
Filed under: uncultured bacterium
Lineage: Bacteria
Description: partial 16S ribosomal RNA
Rfam family: Bacterial small subunit ribosomal RNA
Source: RNAcentral